CAAGUCGAGGGGCAGCACGGGUAGCAAUACCUGGUGGCGACCGGCAAACGGGUGCGGAACACGUACGCAACCUUCCUUUAAGCGGGGAAUAGCCCAGGGAAACUUGGAUUAAUACCCCAUAAGAUUAUGGUGUGGCAUCACACAGUAAUUAAAGCUCCGGCACUUAAAGAUGGGCGUGCGGCUGAUUAGGUAGUUGGCGGGGUAACGGCCCACCAAGCCUACGAUCAGUAACUGGUGUGAGAGCACGACCAGUCACACGGGCACUGAGACACGGGCCCGACUCCUACGGGAGGCAGCAGUAAGGAAUAUUGGUCAAUGGACGCAAGUCUGAACCAGCCAUGCCGCGUGGAGGAUGAAGGCCCUCUGGGUUGUAAACUUCUUUUAUUUGGGAAGAAACCCAUCUUUUCUAAGGUGGUUGACGGUACCAGAUGAAUAAGCACCGGCUAACUCCGUGCCAGCAGCCGCGGUAAUACGGAGGGUGCAAGCGUUAUCCGGAUUCACUGGGUUUAAAGGGUGCGUAGGUGGGCAGGUAAGUCAGUGGUGAAAUCUCCGGGCUUAACCCGGAAACUGCCGUUGAUACUAUCUGUCUUGAAUAUAGUGGAGGUGAGCGGAAUAUGUCAUGUAGCGGUGAAAUGCUUAGAUAUGACAUAGAACACCCAUUGCGAAGGCAGCUCGCUACACUAUCAUUGACACUGAGGCACGAAAGCGUGGGGAUCAAACAGGAUUAGAUACCCUGGUAGUCCACGCCCUAAACGAUGGAUACUCGACAUCAGCGAUACACAGUUGGUGUCUGAGCGAAAGCAUUAAGUAUCCCACCUGGGAAGUACGACCGCAAGGUU
This 839-nucleotide ribosomal RNA is filed under the name uncultured Sphingobacteriia bacterium. RNAcentral's name for it is "bacterial SSU rRNA". It matches the Rfam family "Bacterial small subunit ribosomal RNA", at positions 58 to 895 of the family's 1533-position model. The record is from RNAcentral. Lineage: Bacteria; Pseudomonadati; Bacteroidota; Sphingobacteriia.